GAUGAACGCUGGCGGCGUGCCUAAUACAUGCAAGUCGAGCGAACAGACGAGGAGCUUGCUCCUCUGACGUUAGCGGCGGACGGGUGAGUAACACGUGGAUAACCUACCUAUAAGACUGGGAUAACUUCGGGAAACCGGAGCUAAUACCGGAUAAUAUAUUGAACCGCAUGGUUCAAUAGUGAAAGACGGUUUUGCUGUCACUUAUAGAUGGAUCCGCGCCGCAUUAGCUAGUUGGUAAGGUAACGGCUUACCAAGGCAACGAUGCGUAGCCGACCUGAGAGGGUGAUCGGCCACACUGGAACUGAGACACGGUCCGGACUCCUACGGGAGGCAGCAGUAGGGAAUCUUCCGCAAUGGGCGAAGGCCUGACGGAGCAACGCCGCGUGAGUGAUGAAGGUCUUCGGAUCGUAAAACUCUGUUAUUAGGGAAGAACAAAUGUGUAAGUAACUAUGCACGUCUUGACGGUACCUAAUCAGAAAGCCACGGCUAACUACGUG
Molecule: ribosomal RNA, 497 nt
Filed under: uncultured bacterium
Lineage: Bacteria
Description: partial 16S ribosomal RNA
Rfam family: Bacterial small subunit ribosomal RNA
Source: RNAcentral